RNAcentral lists this ribosomal RNA (548 nucleotides) under uncultured bacterium. RNAcentral's name for it is "partial 16S rRNA". It matches the Rfam family "Bacterial small subunit ribosomal RNA", at positions 355 to 892 of the family's 1533-position model. The record is from RNAcentral.
UAGGGAAUCUUCGNNAAUGGACGGAAGNCUGACCGAGCAACGCNNNGUGAGUGAAGAAGGUUUUCGGAUCGUAAAGCUCUGUUGUAAGAGAAGAACGAGUGUGAGAGUGGAAAGUUCACACUGUGACGGUAUCUUACCAGAAAGGGACGGCUAACUACGUGCCAGCAGCCGCGGUAAUACGUAGGUCCCGAGCGUUGUCCGGAUUUAUUGGGCGUAAAGCGAGCGCAGGCGGUUAGAUAAGUCUGAAGUUAAAGGCUGUGGCUUAACCAUAGUACGCUUUGGAAACUGUUUAACUUGAGUGCAAGAGGGGAGAGUGGAAUUCCAUGUGUAGCGGUGAAAUGCGUAGAUAUAUGGAGGAACACCGGUGGCGAAAGCGGCUCUCUGGCUUGUAACUGACGCUGAGGCUCGAAAGCGUGGGGAGCAAACAGGAUUAGAUACCCUGGUAGUCCACGCCGUAAACGAUGAGUGCUAGGUGUUAGACCCUUUCCGGGGUUUAGUGCCGCAGCUAACGCAUUAAGCACUCCGCCUGGGGAGUACGACCGNNNNNG